GACGAACGCUGGCGGCGUGCUUAACACAUGCAAGUCGAACGGUAAGGCCCUGCUUUUGUGGGGUGCUCGAGUGGCGAACGGGUGAGUAACACGUGAGUAACCUGCCCUUGACUGUGGGAUAACUUCAGGAAACUGGGGCUAAUACCGGAUAGGAGCUCCUGCUGCAUGGUGGGGGUUGGAAAGUUUCGGCGGUUGGGGAUGGACUCGCGGCUUAUCAGCUUGUUGGUGGGGUAGUGGCGUACCAAGGCUUUGACGGGUAGCCGGCCUGAGAGGGUGACCGGCCACAUUGGGACUGAGAUACGGCCCAGACUCCUACGGGAGGAAGCAGUGGGGAAUAGUGCAAGAUGGGCGGAAGCCUGAUGCAGCAACGCCGCGUGCGAGAUGACGGCCUUCGGGGUGUAAACCGCGUUCGCCUGUGACGAAGCGUGAGUGACGGUAAUGGGUAAAGAAGCACCGGCUAACUACGUG
This 468-nucleotide ribosomal RNA is filed under the name uncultured bacterium. RNAcentral describes it as "partial 16S ribosomal RNA". It matches the Rfam family "Bacterial small subunit ribosomal RNA", at positions 28 to 507 of the family's 1533-position model. The record is from RNAcentral.